RNAcentral lists this ribosomal RNA (544 nucleotides) under Kodamaea ohmeri. RNAcentral's name for it is "partial large subunit ribosomal RNA". It matches the Rfam family "Eukaryotic large subunit ribosomal RNA", at positions 37 to 672 of the family's 3401-position model. Lineage: Eukaryota; Fungi; Ascomycota; Pichiomycetes; Serinales; Debaryomycetaceae. The record is from RNAcentral.
UGCAUAUUCCAAUUACUGAGGAAAAGGAACCAACAGGGAUUGCCUCAGUAACGGCGAGUGAAGCGGCAAAAGCUCAAAUUUGAAAUCCCCCCGGGGAGUUGUAAUUUGAAGAUUGCGUCUUGGAGGCGACCGUGUCUAUGUUCCUUGGAACAGGACGUCACAGAGGGUGAGAAUCCCGUGCGGCACGGCCCCCGGCUCCUUAUAAGGCGCUCUCGACGAGUCGAGUUGUUUGGGAAUGCAGCUCAAAGUGGGUGGUAAAUUCCAUCUAAAGCUAAAUACAGGCGAGAGACCGAUAGCGAACAAGUACAGUGAUGGAAAGAUGAAAAGCACUUUGAAAAGAGAGUGAAACAGCACGUGAAAUUGUUGAAAGGGAAGGGCAUGCCGUCAGAUUGUCAGUGUGGGUAAGAAGCGGGGUACAAAGACUGUGGAACGUGGCCCUCGGGUGUUAUAGCCGCAGUUCAUGCCCCGUCUCUUUCCGAGGCCUGCUUUGAGGACACCGACGUAAUGACGGUACGCCGCCCGUCUGAAAACCCCGGAACAAAAA